UUGUGUUCUGGGUUCAUUUGUCUCCCUGCUCUCUGGGGACCUCCAAGUAGCAUCUCCUCCAGUGUCUUUGUUCUCUCCAAUGCUCUUCCCUCGUCUUCUCACAUGUCCUUGUUUUCUCAGUCUUAACACUUCACCCUAACCAUCACCAGACCUCAAGCUUAAUGAUUCAAAAUAUAUGUCCAAUCCCAUCUUUGGAAACCCCACCCUAAAACUGCUCUUCUGAAGAUAAACACUGCCAUAAUUGCCAAAUUGAAUAAGCUUUUCAGUUUUUCUUUCCCCUUAACCUCUUGCGAGUUGUCACCAUCAGGGACCAUCCCUGUCUGCUUUACCCGCUCCCCGCUGUGGCUUCCAUGACGGCAAUGCCCCCCAUCCCAGGUCUCUGACCUGCACUACUAAUCAGUGGGAUUCCACCCGCCAGUGUUCGGCCUCCUCUGUCCUUCCUUCUUAGGGCACCACAUUUUCCUCUGCCCUUCCUCAAACAGCCUGGGGGAAAGCAAGCUCCUGUCAAAUGUCAAGAUACACAAUUCUCAUUCCUCUCAUAAUAAAGAUGCAUUGUCCCGGCACUCAUGUUAUUCCUGGAACAGGGAGACAGGGGUACCAGUUUGAACCCCAGGGCACACUUGCGUCUUCUCAGCUGUCUGAUAUACCUAACACCUGCUUGAUCUCGGCUCAUUGCAGCCUCAGCCUCCUGGGCUUAAGUGAUCCUCCCACCUCAGCCUCCAGAGUAGCUGAGACUACAGAUGCAUGCCACCAUGCUUGGCUAAUUUUUAAAUUUUUUUUUGUACAAAGUCUCACUAUGUUGCCCCGGCUGGUCUCAAACUCCUGGGCUCAAGUGAUCCUUCCGACUCGACCUCCCGAAGUAUUGGGAUUACAGGUGUGAGCCACUGUGCUCAGGAAGAGGCACUUCUGAGAUUCUCUUUGCAACCCAUGAUUGAUGUACAGAGAAGGCAAAGCCAAACUGUCCACUCUCCCACCACAGUGCCCAGGGCCAAAGCCAGAGAAGGAAAGGAGAGUGGUUUCUGAGCUCAGGCCCUCACAGGCUUCUGCAGAGGGUGAACACUUGCUGAAGGAACCACUGGAUGUUUUGGCAACCACCUGGCAGUGUCUGUGCCACCGUGCACAACUGAGUCCAGGGACCUGCUCAGCAUCCACAGCCUUACAGCUCAGGGCUGGCAGAUGUCAGGCCACCCUGCUCUCCUAACUCCUUUGCUUAGGAAACUUUCUAGUUAAAGAAAUGUGUGCAGAGAGGCGAGAUCAUUAAAAGUUCCUUCAAACAGGGCAAACUGCCUCCAUCCUGGGCUCACAGCACAAGUUAUCCCAGGGGUGCCCAAGAUGCAGGGAGAGGGGUCAACAUUUACAACGGACCAAACUCCAAGA
Molecule: long non-coding RNA, 1377 nt
Filed under: Homo sapiens (human)
Lineage: Eukaryota; Metazoa; Chordata; Mammalia; Primates; Hominidae
Description: HSALNT0023169
Source: RNAcentral